Molecule: ribosomal RNA, 200 nt
Filed under: uncultured bacterium
Lineage: Bacteria
Description: partial 16S ribosomal RNA
Rfam family: Bacterial small subunit ribosomal RNA
Source: RNAcentral
AGAGUUUGAUCAUGGCUCAGGACGAACGCUGGCGGCGUGCCUAAUACAUGCAAGUCGAGCGGAUCUUGGCCUCGGGUCAAGGUUAGCGGCGGACGGGUGAGUAACACGUAGGCAACCUGCCUGUAAGAUCGGGAUAACUACCGGAAACGGUAGCUAAGACCGGAUAAUUGGUUUCCUCGCAUGAGGGGAUCAUGAAACAU